RNAcentral lists this long non-coding RNA (287 nucleotides) under Homo sapiens (human). Its description in RNAcentral is "non-protein coding lnc-SLC24A3-1:5". The record is from RNAcentral. Lineage: Eukaryota; Metazoa; Chordata; Mammalia; Primates; Hominidae.
UUUUCAUCUCAUCUAGAUGGGAUUUCCAAGUCAUAAUUAUCUGAUAAUUACCAUCCGGAUGGCUGUUUUGUGCAUGGCAUUAGGUUUAAGCAUUUGGCAGGGAAGGAUGAAUGCAGUUUUACAGAUUUUGACAUUUCUUAAUACUCUGUGGCUUGCUCAGAAGGCAGCUAGUUACCUAAGUGCCCAAAAUAAGAAAUCUUUCUAAAAGUCAAAGUUUGGAAAAUGAGCACUUAUCUCCUCCCUGCUAUCCUUUCUCCCUACAGCCUUCUUUGUGGCUACUUUUAAAC